GGAUGUGAGGGCGAUCUGGCUGCGACAUCUGUCACCCCACUGAUUGCCAGGGUUAUUUGGCUGAUCUAGCUGGCUAGGCAGGUGUCCCCUCCCUCCUUCCCUCCCUCACUGCUCCAUGUGCAUCCCUCCCGAAGCUGCGUGCUCAUGUAAGAGGACGACAACCCCAUAGAGGAGACCGUUCCUGGGUCAAGGGUAUAGGAGUAGCUGUGCUCCCCUGCUAGAACCUCCGAAGGAGCUCUCAAUAAUGUGCCCCUUGGGGCUGGGAAUUUAGCUCAG
Molecule: small nuclear RNA, 276 nt
Filed under: Chinchilla lanigera (long-tailed chinchilla)
Lineage: Eukaryota; Metazoa; Chordata; Mammalia; Rodentia; Chinchillidae
Description: 7SK RNA (ENSCLAG00000022091.1)
Rfam family: 7SK RNA
About the family: 7SK was discovered as an abundant small nuclear RNA in the mid-70s but a possible function has only recently been suggested. Two independent studies have found that 7SK RNA binds the CDK9/cyclin T complex (known as elongation factor P-TEFb).
Source: RNAcentral